RNAcentral lists this ribosomal RNA (438 nucleotides) under uncultured bacterium. RNAcentral's name for it is "partial 16S ribosomal RNA". It matches the Rfam family "Bacterial small subunit ribosomal RNA", at positions 339 to 795 of the family's 1533-position model. The record is from RNAcentral.
CUACGGGCGCAGCAGUGGGGAAUAUUGCACAAUGGACGAAAGUCUGAUGCAGCAACGCCGCGUGGAGGAUGACACAUUUCGGUGCGUAAACUCCUUUUAUAUAAGAAGAUAAUGACGGUACUAUAUGAAUAAGCACCGGCUAACUCCGUGCCAGCAGCCGCGGUAAUACGGAGGGUGCAAGCGUUACUCGGAAUCACUGGGCGUAAAGAGCGUGUAGGCGGGUUAAUAAGUUGGAAGUGAAAUCCUAUGGCUCAACCAUAGAACUGCUUCCAAAUCUGUUAACCUAGAAUAUGGGAGAGGUAGAUGGAAUUUCUGGUGUAGGGGUAAAAUCCGUAGAGAUCAGAAGGAAUACCGAUUGCGAAGGCGAUCUACUGGAACAUUAUUGACGCUGAGACGCGAAAGCGUGGGGAGCAAACAGGAUUAGAUACCCCAGUAGUC